AUGCCUCCUCGUCCAGCGAGGUCAGGGGCUGGUCGUGGUGGUGGUGGUAUCCAGCGCCGCAAGUCCCUGACCAAUGCCACAAGCGCUCAAAUUGGAGGCCACAUUGACCCGGACGACGACGAGGAAGGCUUCUAUUGGACCAGCUCCAACAUGCUUCAGAACUCCGACGAGGAGGAAGACGACUCUGAUGAGGCUAUGAAGAAUAGGUAUACCCAAGCAAAGGUCUUGGCAACUUUCUGGAAAGAGGUGCAGGUGAAGUCCAGUGGACUAGGCCGAGGUCCAAAUGGUGAAAUCCUAGCAAGCGAGUCAUGGUGGCAAGCUAAUACCAAGGGGAGAAUCGAGUGCUAUAGAGUAUUCAAGGAUCGAGUGCCCCCCUAUCUAGAUGAUUUGAUGCAGAUCUUCGAUUAUGUGACAGUGGAUGGAGCAUCUGCAUUUUGUCCAGGAUUUGAUGAGGAAGACAGCCAGCCGCGUAAUGGUGUUGCAGCAGAUCUUUAUGAUCUCACCGGAGAAGGCGACACAUGCAGUCCCAUGGGCAGUGCCAACAAGAGGGCUAGCAGUAGCAGCAAGAGGGCCAGCAGCAAUGCAACAACAGGAGAGAGCCCUUCCAAGAAAACCAAGAGUCCUAUGGUUAAAGCUCUUAGGGGGCUGCAAUGGAUGGCUGCCACCAUGGAUCAGUGGGCAGAGGAGGACGAAGAAGAGGAGGAACAAGAAGCUGCAGCAGCAGAGAGGAGGAAGAGCAUAAUAUUCAGCGCUGCACAAAUCAUUGCCAUUGAUGGAACACAUAUAGAGGUGGUUGUGCCAAAGACAGACCUCAUCACACACAUGAACCGAAAAUCAACUACUACUCAGAAUGUGCUAGCAAUGUGUGAUUUUGACUUGAGAUUCACCUUCAUCGUUACUGGGUGGCCUGGGUCGGUUCAUGACAUGAGGGUGUUCAAGGCAACACUAGACAAAUUUGGCAGCCACUUCCCACAUCCUCCCCAAGGGAAGUUUUAUGUGGUGGACUCGGGAUUCUUUAACCAACCUGGUUAUCUUGCACCGUACAAAGGAACGAAGUACCAUUUUCAAGAGUACAAUCAAGGUCCACCGCCAAGAGAGACAGUAAAUUGGAGGAUAGAGAUUUUGGAGAGUGUGAUGAUGAUGAGGAGUUCAUUCCAAUGGUGGAUGAGCCUAGUAGCCUACGACACCGACGCCAACGACGAAGCCGUGCAACCCAAUCGCAGGGGCAAAACUCGCGUGGUGAUCAUGACAUGA
This 1254-nucleotide ribosomal RNA is filed under the name Triticum aestivum (bread wheat). RNAcentral's name for it is "partial small subunit ribosomal RNA". Lineage: Eukaryota; Viridiplantae; Streptophyta; Magnoliopsida; Poales; Poaceae. The record is from RNAcentral.